Ornithodoros turicata is the source of this 442-nucleotide long non-coding RNA. RefSeq lists it as uncharacterized. The record is from RefSeq and is a predicted model, not a curated record. Lineage: Eukaryota; Metazoa; Arthropoda; Arachnida; Ixodida; Argasidae. The transcript has 4 exons.
UAGUAGUGAGCUUUGUCCAGAAGAUAAUUGACAUUAUUUUUUAUGCUUUGUCCUCGAGUUACGACAACAGCCGUUAUGUGCAGCUCGUCGAGGAGGCACUCGUAGACAAUACCUUGUCUAGCGGCGACGCGCAGAUGUCGGAAGACGAUGUUCAAACAGGCAGAUGGCUGAAGACAGCCAGGAUGCAAGUGUUCAGUCUGGUGGUGAUGUUCAGAAUGAAAAGUCUACUGAAGAUGAAGGUGAAAGGUCCAAUGGCAAACACACUGAUUUCGAAAGAAGAUAUAUGAAAAUAACGUCAUGCGCGAUGUCCACUCCUUUUGGGCAUGGAAAUCGGAACAAGAAACCCUUGUGUGCAGCCGGGAGGAGAAGCUGACUCAGAGAUAUGUUGCUAAUAUCAACUAUACAUCUACUCACUGUCAUAUUACACACACUUCCAGUCUUA